This 497-nucleotide ribosomal RNA is filed under the name uncultured bacterium. RNAcentral describes it as "partial 16S ribosomal RNA". It matches the Rfam family "Bacterial small subunit ribosomal RNA", at positions 28 to 507 of the family's 1533-position model. The record is from RNAcentral.
GAUGAACGCUGGCGGCGUGCCUAAUACAUGCAAGUCGAGCGAACAGACGAGGAGCUUGCUCCUCGGACGUUAGCGGCGGACGGGUGAGUAACACGUGGAUAACCUACCUAUAAGACUGGGAUAACUUCGGGAAACCGGAGCUAAUACCGGAUAAUAUAUUCAACCGCAUGGUUCAAUAGUGAAAGACGGUUUUGAUGUCACUUAUAGAUGGAUCCGCGCCGCAUUAGCUAGUUGGUAAGGUAACGGCUUACCAAGGCGACGAUGCGUAGCCGACCUGAGAGCGUCAUCGGCCAGCCUGGAACUGAGACGCGGUCCAGACUCCUACGGGAAGAAGCAGUAGGGAAUCUUACGCAAUGGGCGAAAGCCUGACGGAGCAACGCCGCGUGAGUGAUGAAGGUCUUCGGAUCGUAAAACUCUGUUAUUAGGGAAGAACAAAUGUGUAAGUAACUAUGCACGUCUUGACGGUACCUAAUCAGAAAGCCACGGCUAACUACGUG